GGAAGGGAGGAAGCGUAGAAGGUGCCGAUGCACUUUUCCUCUCUCCAGCCCUCCUGACUGCUCCAAGAAUUUCAUCGAACAAGACUCAAAGAGGCCCAGCUGCUCUGCGUUUUGAUUCUUCUCCCUCUCUCAGUCCACACUGACCUGGGAGGGGCUUCUCAAACACCACAUUUCCUAGCAUGCUGUGAGAAGAGGACUGUGAGCUAAGAAGGGAGAAAAGGCACUCCCUCCUCAUCAACAAACACCUGACCUGGGUAGACCCUCUGCUUACCAAGAUCCAGUCCACCUUUUGACAUCAGCAUUCAUGCUGCCUCUUUUUACGAACCAAGCCAAAGUGGUCCCUUCCUCUGGAAAUUAUAGGAUACUUAAUGUACAUCAUAUCCAGCACUUUCCAUCAAAAAGCAGAGUAUUUCAGCAUCAUCUGAACCUGGGCUAGACUUAGGACUUAUACUGAUGAACAAAAUGUGACAGGAGUGAUGUUACUCAGUUCCAAGCUUAAGCCUCUAGAGACAGACUCUGCAGCUUCCACUUACAUCUCUUGAAUGCUAUCCUGAGAGCAACAUGUGAAAAAGUCCAAGCUAGCCUACUGGAAGAUGAAAGACUACAUGGAACACAGACAAGCCAUUCCGGCUGAGGCCCCCUAAGCCAACCUAACAAUCCACCCACAGAAUUGUGAGAAGUCAUUAAAUUAUCCUUUUAAACCACUAA
This 708-nucleotide non-coding RNA is filed under the name Pan troglodytes (chimpanzee). Lineage: Eukaryota; Metazoa; Chordata; Mammalia; Primates; Hominidae. The record is from RNAcentral.